This 119-nucleotide ribosomal RNA is filed under the name Physeter macrocephalus (sperm whale). Lineage: Eukaryota; Metazoa; Chordata; Mammalia; Artiodactyla; Physeteridae. The record is from RNAcentral.
UUCUACGGGCGUACCACCCUGAACGCGCCCGGUCUCGUCUGAUGUGGGAAGCUAAGCAGGGUCGGGCCUAGUUAGUACUUGAAUGGGAGACCGCCUGGGAAUAGCGGGUGCUGUAGGCU